RNAcentral lists this long non-coding RNA (2621 nucleotides) under Citrus sinensis (sweet orange). RNAcentral's name for it is "long non-coding RNA (CSIN_LNC005073)". The record is from RNAcentral. Lineage: Eukaryota; Viridiplantae; Streptophyta; Magnoliopsida; Sapindales; Rutaceae.
UCGCCACCUGUUUCCCCCACUACGCCCACAAAACGUCACCGUUUCAUUCUCACUCCUUCCUCACACCCUCUCUUUUUCCCCACAUUCCUUCGUUUCAUCUCAAUUCAAAAAUUCAUUCUUUUAACAUUAAUAAUAAUAAUUUUAUUGAAAUAAAUCAAUCAAAAAGGUAACUCCAAAUAUCUCCUCCAGCUUUUUACUGCUUCUUAAUUUUGAUCGACUAUGACCUUAAUUUUGAUCGACUAUGACGAUGUACUAAAGCUUCAAUUUUUUUCGGUUUUUUCAGUCAACGCUUUUGCUUCAAGAUUUCGUUUUACCUUCCUUGAAAAUUAAAGCUCACCUAAUUGAUACAAUUGAAACUCUUCUUUUAAGCUGGAAAUUGAUACAAUUUUCACUUCAUUUUUUCUUAACUUUGUAUCCAGAUUUGCUGCUUUUGUUUACAGUUUUUAUUUUUUUAAUAUUUUUCUGUGGAGCUAAGCAUGACUUUGGUUACAGCUUUAUAUUAUUUUAACAUAUAAUCAGACUAAUUUAUUGAAUUUUAUGGCAUGGUCCAUUUGACCAAAUAUUUUUGUUACUUGAACUGAUGAACACGAAUUUUGAAGUGAAUACGUGUGUUUGAUUGCCGGAUUUUGUAAGAUUCCUUUGUAGAAAUAUUUUAAUCCCACGAACAGUAUGAUUCAGUAAAUAGCUUUGGGAAUGGUAUUGAUUCUAUUCUUGUUUGUUUAUUCAUAUAAGAACUUUGAUGCAACCUUCAGAUUCCUUUUGAACCAUGUAGUUAUAUAUUUGGAUUAGUUUAUAGCAUAUCAACAGUUGAUUGUUGCAUUUAGAUGUUUUUUGUUACUUCCGCUCUUGAUUGCUUAUUAUAUGUUAGUUAAAGAGCAAACAUUAUACAAGUUCUUGAUUGAUUAGUGCUCUUUCGUAUAACGGGUUCGUGACUGAUGUUCACUUUCUUAUUUGACUUUGUUUAUGCAGUUCUUGUAGCGAGAUUGUGUAAUUUGAAUAUUCAGAUACUUCUGUAGCUGAUGGAUUCGCCAGAUAUUGAGUCUCCCUGGCUUUGUGCCGCUGGCGAAUCCUUCUGUGGGUCGUUUAAUAUACGUGUGGAGGAGGGGAAUGCAGCCGAUAUUUUACAUGUGCUGGAAGUUCCCACCUCUUCUGUACCCUAUAACUGUAGUAUACCCAAGCCACCCCCUCUCCCUAUUAAACCCUGUACAAAAAACAAAUAUCCCAAUAGAUUUUUACAUUGUAGAGACACUCAACGGACAACGGUGAAAUCAAGAAUAAAGUUUAAAGUUCAACGGACAAAUUAUUGCGAUAAAUUCUUGUAAAGCCGGUAUGAUUUAAUUGAUGCAUGAUUUAGCAUUUGAAAAGCUCAAGAGAUUAAUUUAAUUAAUUACUUUUCAUAAACUAAAAGGUUUUAUUUUUAUAAGAUAAAGUAUUUUGUGGUUUUGAGUAUUUUGAACUUAAAUGGAAAGUUUUGCAAUCUUUGAUUUUAAUAAGUAUUAUCUUGAAUUCCGGAGUUGGAUCUUUUUGCAAAUAUGUGAAAUGUUUUAGCCCAUACUAUAAUUUAUGAACAUUUUGAACUAAAGUGAAAAGUUUUGAGAACUUUGAAAAAUAUAGGUAUUAUGUUAAAUUUUGAAAAAUGACCUCUUUGAGAAAUAAUAAUAUAUUUGGGGCCAUAGCAUAAUUACAGAAAGUUUUGAAAAGACAAUUAUUAUUAGGAAAUUCUGAAAUUGGAUUUAUUUGUAAAGUUUUAUGACAUUUUUUGCUAUAGUAGAAUUAUAGAAAGGUUUGGGCCAAAGUGUAAUUUUAGUGAACAAUGUUACUGUAGUAAAAUUCAAAAAUAACGGUAAUAUCACUAUUACAAGCGGCUAACCGGAUAAAUCAAGCGGCUAAUCGCUUGGGCAUUAGAAUUUGGCUAUAACGACUAGGUUUCAAGUUUUAACUAUAAAAACUCAACUCCAACUUCAUUUUAAGAACCAAUGCAAGCGUAAAUAAGAUCAUAUAACAUAUAUUGAGCUUCAAUUUCGCAAAUCAUCAUUUAUUGAAUCAUUAUUGAGCUAUAAUUUGUUAUCUACUCUUAAAGAGAGUUUCAUUGUUGUGAUUUUCAUUUCUCAUCAAAUCUGCUGUACCGUACAUCCGCCUUGGCCGUACAGCAGAUGUACUAAAGCUUCAAUUUUUUUCGGUUUUUUCAGUCAACGCUUUUGCUUCAAGAUUUCGUUUUACCUUCCUUGAAAAUUAAAGCUCACCUAAUUGAUACGAUUAAAACUCUUUUUUUAACUGAAGAUUGAUACAAUUUUCACUUCAUUUUUUUCUUAACUUUGUAUCCGGAUUUGCUACUUUUGUUUAAAGUUUUUUAUUUUUUUAUAUUUUUCUGCGGAGCUAAGCAUGACUUUGGUUACAGCUUUAUAUUAUUUUAACAUAUAAUUAGACUAAUUUAUUUAUUUGUGGAUUUAUUAUUUUUAAAUAUGGUUUGAGACUUCUGAUGUUUCAAUAUUUAUUGCACACGUGUAGUGCAGUGGCUUUAAUGAAUGUGGUAUUGUAAAGUUUAAAGCUUUUUGCAUGUGAAUGAGUUGGUGUGUACUCUUUCAUUGAUGUUUAGAUUCAUGUAUGUGGUGAUCUCNNNN